Myiozetetes cayanensis is the source of this 2111-nucleotide long non-coding RNA. RefSeq lists it as uncharacterized. The transcript has 2 exons. The record is from RefSeq and is a predicted model, not a curated record. Lineage: Eukaryota; Metazoa; Chordata; Aves; Passeriformes; Tyrannidae.
UGGGAAAGAAGGAAUUGGAACCGGCUGUGGCUGCCUCCCAGCCACAUGGGCUGCAGAUAGAGCUGCGCAUCGGAGAGGGGGAAGGGAACAGAAGUAAACUAAUCGUCGUCUGUUCCCCCCUUUGUCGUCCCCACCCCCAUUUUUCCCUUCUAUUUAGAAACCUGCCAAAAGCAAUAGUUACGGUUUACCACGGAUUGAGGACUUUCUAUUGUGUUGAGCAAACAGCAUUCAGAGGACCAAGCCAGUUAUAGUACAUCAGAAUAAAUUUUAAUUCUUUCUCCUCACCGUCCUGCUCAGUAGGUUCCCUACAAAGCUGCCAAUGAGGAUGCGGUUGAACAUGGCUCCAGCUCCAUGAAGGGCUUGUCAGAGUGAUCCAGAUGCUCUUCAGAAAUAAUUCCUGUUUUUAAAGAUUCUUCUUUCUCAACAGCACAAAAAUUCAGAGGGAAAGGAAGGUGUUGGAAGCAUAUUGAAAAUGAAGCAGACUAGAUUGUGAAGAACAAUCCUCUCCCUCCUCCAGGUAUCACCAUGAGAACCAAUGACCAGGUUUGAAAGUUGCAGUCUUCUGAGAAGUCCGAAGUUACUUGGACAGUGCAUCCUGAGUUCUAUUCUGAACUGUUCUGAACUGUUUUCUUUGAUUAAGACCUCAUACAUAUUACUCAUGUACCACAGUGGAUUUAGAAUAUUAAUUUAUACAGUCAUAUACAAUAUCAUUUUUAUUUCUGUAGCCUUCUAUAAUAUGAAUAGAAUAAUAUGUCGUAGAGUCUUGAGAGGGCUUAUGUCUAGUCUUGUUCAAUUUGUCAUUGUAAAAUUAAGUGUCCAAAAAACCCUAUUUCAGAUUAAUGUUGGAUGUUUAGGUAUGUACAUCAGCAUUGUUCUGGCAGUGUUGUUUUAGCUCACAUUUUUUUUUCCACCUCCCCGCCUGUUUGUUUUAUGUAAUGGGUAGUGUUUUUGCACAAAAUUAGGAAAAUAAGCCUGUACCAAAACUGACAUCCUCAAAGUAAUAAAACUUAAUAGAAGCCACAUUUGUGAUGAACUUCUUGUUAACAAGAAUCUAUAGGAUCACUGCCAACAUAUCAUGUUACAGAUAUCUCAUUCUUAAUCAAUGUAAGUUCAGAAACUUGGUUUCAGAGGUAGAGGAAGGGAAUAGAGGCAGAAGAGAGAACUACAACUUAAGGGUAGAAUCUUGUUGAUUUAUAUUUUUGUGGUAUUUUUAGGUUAUUUAUUGAGGUUUGUUAGCAUGAAUGGCUUAUUUGAUUGUCCUUGUUAUUUCAUAAAUAAUUUUACAUUUCAGUGACUAGUUAUAGCUGACCUAGUCUUGAUUGUACAGGCCAUGUGAGAAAAGAGAGUAAACACUAUUGCCACAAGGGAACUUGCUUAACAGAAACCAGUGCUGUCCAGUCUAAAAGUAUGGACUGGUCUUUAAAAAAAAUCCUCAUUUAGCUGGAAUCUCAAAUAAAAAAAUAUACUUGUGCCUGUGGUAUAAUGUAUAUGUACUUAGAGAAAAGUGCAGCAAACACAGAAUAUUUGACUUGUAAUUAUUUCUCUACCUCAGUGACUUCUCUGUUAAGAUGAACAUACAACUGUAUUUUGGGUCAGAUCUUCAGCUGGCAUUAUUUGUUAUAGCAUUACUGGCUUUUCUUGACACUGGUUAAAGUGAUGGUCCUUCAGCAGGCUACAUUUUCACUCAAUCCCUCCUCUAAACGUUUUUAAAUCUUCUAUAACCUAGAGAGAUUGAGUUAUGUAUAAGGUCAAAUUACCAUGAAAAUUAAAUGUAUUGAACAAAAUAAGCACUUUUUCCCCAGUGGUAAUAUCUCCAUGUUCAAAGGUUGAAAUGCAAUAAUAAAAGUGCAGAAAGGAUAGUUGCAACUUUUCAGUUAUAAAAUCAAUUUUGUUCAUGCUGUAGAAUAAAAGUGUGUCUGAGGCAAGUCAUUCAUUAAGAAUUACUGGGGACUUCACUCUGUAUAAUAACCAUGAUACAAAGGGUUUAACAUUCAGCAUGAAUUAUAGUGAAAGCACAUAUUACAUAUAUAUAUACACAGUAUACCAUGAUAAAAUUGUUUAAGCACAUUAUUAAAGUUUCUAAUAAAAUAUUUAACCUUUGUGAGGUAAAA